UACAGAGGGUGCGAGCGUUAAUCGGAAUUACUGGGCGUAAAGCGUGCGUAGACGGUUAUUUAAGUCGGGUGUGAAAGCCCCGGGCUCAACCUGGGAAUUGCAUUCGAGACUGAAUAGCUAGGGUACGGUAGAGGGAAGUGGAAUUUCCGGUGUAGCGGUGAAAUGCGUAGAUAUCGGAAGGAACAUCAGUGGCGAAAGCGACUCCCUGGACCAGUACCGACGUUCAGGCACGAAAGCGUGGGGAGCAAACAGG
Molecule: ribosomal RNA, 253 nt
Filed under: uncultured bacterium
Lineage: Bacteria
Description: partial 16S ribosomal RNA
Rfam family: Bacterial small subunit ribosomal RNA
Source: RNAcentral